GGUCCAGCAGUACCUUUAAAGACGAAAAGCCUUUGGACCUCAGUCAGAGCGUGAAAAGCCGAAUCAGAGGUGUUUUCUUACCUUUCUAAUCCAGCACACUCAUGAAACCUCUCAUCUCUACUUCGCUGCUACUGCUGCUGCUGCUGUCUGUCUGGUCAGCUUGUGUCUCCUCGCAGCUCAGAGGUCAGGAUGAACAAAUCAGAGAGAUGGAGAGAGAGAUGACCAAAAAGAGGAGUGAAGCAGCUCCUCCUGAGAGCUGCCCACUUGGCAUGUUCUCUGCACUGAGAGAGAUGAGCAGCACUCUGGGAGAGCAUAAAGCUGAGCUCAGACACUCACACACACUCCUCCUAUAGAGGCCAGACUGAGAGAAACCGAGGCCCAGCUUCAACAGCUGAGAACAGAAAACCAAGAGCUUCAAAAAAAAGAUGAAGAACAGGCAAGGAAGUACGAGGAACUGCAGAAAACACUUCAAGGUCAGUCAGAGGAGCUGAGAGUUCUGAAAGACAGAUCCAACAUCACUGAGGACAAAGUAGAGGAUUUGAGAAAAAAUAAUGAAGUGAGGAAGGUGGCAUUCUCAGCUGCUCUUCUGACUACUGGAGAAGGACAUGUCGAACUUUUAGUGUUGAAACAACACUCGUCUUUGCCAAAAUCUUCUCCAAUAUUGGCAGCGCCUACAAUCCAAUUACAGGUAUCUUCACAGCUCCAGUAAAAGGAAUCUAUGAGUUCAAACUCUUUGUCUACAAUCAAGCAACUCCCUCUGUUUCUUCAGGAGCAUCCCUGCAUAAGAAUGAAGAGCGUUUGGUCACUGCUUAUUCUCAUAACGACAGCAGUCAGCAUGUCAGCAGCUCCAACAGUGUGAUCGUACAGAUGGAGGUGGGAGAUGUGGUGUUUGUGAGACUGUGGGCUAACAGAAGGAUAUUUGAUAGUAAACAUCACCACAGCACUUUUAGUGGACACCUACUGUACACCAUGUAAAACAAUGUACAAACAGUGCUCGAAGUAAAAUCUGAAAUAUUGGAACUUUAUAAGUGAAUUAGUGAAUUGGUAUGGUGGGAGAUUUGGUUUGUUUUAUUUAACUGUGGGUAUUUUACUGAUUUCUAUUCAGUAGCAAAUUUCUGUAAUCGAUAUUGUGAAUAAAGUCAUUCAGGGGUUGGACAAUGAAACUAAAACACCUGGUUUUAGACCACAAUAAUUUACUGUUCUGACAGACAGUUCUGGUGGAAACAGGAGGCUUGAGGUGCACAUUGAAUUCUGCCGUGAUUUGAUCAGCCGUGGUUUUAUGUUUUUUGGAUACAAUCCAGGUUAGCAACCGAACAUCCCUUUCAGACAGCUUCCUUCUGCGUCCACAGUUAAUCCUAGUAGAUGUGGUUCAUCCAUCCUGGAUACCAUGGCUCUUGAUACAAGACGUGCACCAACAGUUUGUCCUCUUUUGAACUCUGGUGUGUCACCCAUAAUGUUGUGUUCAUUGCAAUAUUUUGAGCCAAACUGUGCUCUUACCCUGCUAAUUGAACCUUCACACUCUUACUGCUCUUACUGGUGCAAUGUGUAAUUAAUGUAGAUUGGCCACCAGGCUGCUCCAAUUUAACCAUGAAACCUCCCACACUAAAAUGACAGGUGUUUCAGUUUCAUUGUCCAACCCCUGUUUAUCGAUUAUUGAUUUAAUAAAUAAUUAGUGUUUUAUCUUAAUCAAUAAUUAGCAUGAGUAAUAUGUUUUCCUUUAUGAUCUCUGGUUAAUUAUUUUGAGUAAUUCAUAUGUAACUGUGGGUAAAACAACAUAUGUGCUCUGUUUACCUUGGCUAAGAUAGGCCUGUUUACUGUACAUUUAAUCAGUAUUUUGUGUACUAUCUGAUACAUGUGUGAGCUUCCCAAGGGCUGUUUUAAGAUUAGAGCAGGCCUUGAGUCAUCUGGUCAAUCUCGAGAAUGGGCAACACUCACUCAUAAUUGGUGGAAAGGUUUGGGAUGAGGUCCGUUAGUUAAGGCAUAAAGAUUGGCCAGGUCAGACUGGAGUUAAGAACUGGGGGAGGCUAAAACAAGCUGGCUGAGAUCUUCAGGGCUCUGGUAAAUCUGACUAGGAGGAGCAGAUAGCUUUCUGACCAAAACCGACAGGAAGUUUAGUCUGGUUAUCUUGCGUUAGAUAGCAUCACUGUUUGGAUGAAUAAAAAUUACGCUUACAUAACAUCUUUUGAGAAACCCAAGGAGCUUUACAAUUUUCAUGUUCACACACCGGUAAGAAGCGGCAGCCAAUUUACUUAUACACACCGGUGAGAAGCAGCAGCCAAUAGCACACAGCGUACUCUUAACCGGAAACAAGCGUCCACCUGGAGGACAGCAUCGAGCACUACAGCACAGUCAUACAGUACAUAUUAGUGCAGAGUCAUACAUACAUUUACACACAAACAAACUUACAUACAUACCACACACACACAUACACACCAGAUCAGUUUAGAGUAUUUCAUUUUCCAUGUUUUUGGACUGUGGAAAGAAACCAGAGACUUUUUUUCUUGCAUUACAAAUAGACUUUUUUUUGUCCAGAAGAUUCUUUGAAUAAACUGGCAAAGCUAU
Astyanax mexicanus (Mexican tetra) is the source of this 2562-nucleotide long non-coding RNA. RefSeq lists it as uncharacterized. The record is from RefSeq and is a predicted model, not a curated record. NCBI's taxonomy places the organism in Eukaryota, Metazoa, Chordata, Actinopteri, Characiformes, Acestrorhamphidae. The transcript is spliced from 4 exons.